GAUGAACGCUAGCGGCAGGCCUAACACAUGCAAGUCCAGGGAGAGGUUACCUUCGGGUAACCAAAACCGGCGCACGGGUGCGUAACGCGUAUACAAUCUGCCUUUCACAUAGGGAUAGCCCGAAGAAAUUUGGAUUAAUACCUAAUGGUAUAUAAGAGCGGCAUCGUUUUUAUAUUAAAGCUACGGUGGUGAAAGAUGAGUAUGCGUUCUAUUAGCUAGUUGGAGAGGUAACGGCUCCCCAAGGCGACGAUAGAUAGGGGUUCUGAGAGGGAUGUCCCCCACACUGGUACUGAGAUACGGACCAGACUCCUACGGGAGGCAGCAGUGAGGAAUAUUGGACAAUGGUCGGAAGACUGAUCCAGCCAUGCCGCGUGCAGGAUGAAGGUCCUAUGGAUUGUAAACUGCUUUUGUAAGGGAAGAAUAAGGAGUACGUGUACUUUGAUGACGGUACCUUACGAAUAAGCAUCGGCUAACUCCGUG
Molecule: ribosomal RNA, 480 nt
Filed under: uncultured bacterium
Lineage: Bacteria
Description: partial 16S ribosomal RNA
Rfam family: Bacterial small subunit ribosomal RNA
Source: RNAcentral